RNAcentral lists this ribosomal RNA (253 nucleotides) under uncultured bacterium. Its description in RNAcentral is "partial 16S ribosomal RNA". It matches the Rfam family "Bacterial small subunit ribosomal RNA", at positions 524 to 776 of the family's 1533-position model. The record is from RNAcentral.
UACAGAGGUCUCAAGCGUUGUUCGGAUUCAUUGGGCGUAAAGGGUGCGUAGGCGGCGUGGUAAGUCGGGUGUGAAAUCUCGGAGCUUAACUCCGAAACUGCAUUCGAUACUGCCGUGCUUGAGGACUGGGGAGGAGACUGGAAUUUACGGUGUAGCGGUGAAAUGCGUAGAUAUCGUAAGGAAGACCAGUGGCGAAGGCGGGUCUCUGGACAGUUCCUGACGCUGAGGCACGAAGGCCAGGGGAGCAAACGGG